Molecule: long non-coding RNA, 923 nt
Organism: Anas platyrhynchos (mallard)
Lineage: Eukaryota; Metazoa; Chordata; Aves; Anseriformes; Anatidae
Source: RefSeq, a predicted model, not a curated record
AGGCUUCAUCCUCCACUUCAAGCACGUGCAGGAUCACGCUACAAAGCAUGUGGUGAACUCCUUGCCCAGGCUGUAUUUCCCCGCGGGACGGCUCAGGUUCAUCUCUUCUCUCUCCUACUGACAAGAACGGAGGUUAAUCCUUGGGUGGAUUACGCUCCGUAACUCUAAGGACCGAAUUUCAAGCCAUGAUGACAAGAGGUGUGUCCACACCACACAACUCUCCUCUCCCAGACUGAAAGUUUGCAAUUAAAUAAGGAAAUAAACCAGCACAAUGCGUGUUUUGAAGCUCCGUGGUUUGCUCUGUAGCUUUUCCUUGUACAGGAUUUGCCUUCAGCCAGGAGGCAGAGAGGGUCACCAUGUCCCAGCACUGCCUGUGACACAAAGCCCUGCCUGCCCUCCAACCCACAAAGAUUUAUGAGCCCUUCCUUCAAUCUCACAAGCCUCAAUUUCACCCCGUAACCUCUCCCGAACCCGCAGUGAGUCAGCACAACUUGUCUGCGGAGGCAAGAUCGAUGCACAGUUCUGGAGCAGAUAAAGCCUACCCCUGGGUCAGCCAGGAGGCGUUUUGGCCAUAUUAUUGCUGUCCCUUCUCCCAUCCCAUGCCCCCGGAGAUGCUCCGGCUGACGUUGCCUCGCUCACCCUCCCAAGACAAGCCAAGGUCAUGGCACAAAUCUGCUCAGAACCAAGUUAUCUUCCAGCGUCUAUACACAAAUCUUGUCCCACAAGUGUUUUUGGGGCCGCCGGAGAAGUUUUCUUCCAACUGUGAGGAAAACACGAGCGCUGUCAAUUGGCACGUACGAGUGAGAACGUGGCUGGCAAAACUAUUUUCCCUGGGGUCUUGGCCAAACCCUUCCCACGUUGUCACGUCCCGACUCCCCAAAGUCUCCCAGAAAAGAUAAAUAAAAAUAAAAACCUAAAUUUGA